GUGACCUGCGGAGGAUCAUUACCGAACCGUCAACAAGGGUUGUUGCUGGUCCCUGUAUGGGGGCAUGUGCACGCUCUUGUUUACACAUCCACCCACACCUGUGCACCCUCUGUAGUUCUAUGGCCUGAGGGGGCUCUGCCCUCCUGCCAUGGCUCUACGUCUUUACACACACACCACGAAAAAGUCUCAUGGAAUGUAUGUAGCGUUUAACGCAAUGAAAUACAACUUUCAGCAACGGAUCUCUUGGCUCUCGCAUCGAUGAAGAACGCAGCGAAAUGCGAUAAGUAAUGUGAAUUGCAGAAUUCAGUGAAUCAUCGAAUCUUUGAACGCACCUUGCGCCCUUUGGCUAUUCCGAAGGGCAUGCCUGUUUGAGUAUCAUGAACACCUCAACUCUUCAUGGCUUGCUGUGAUGAGUUUGGACUUUGGGGGUCUUGCUGGCCUGCGAGCCAGCUCCUCUCAAAUGUAUUAGCUUGCCGGUGUUUGGUGGCAUCACAGGUGUGAUAACUAUCUACGCUUGUGGUCUUCCACUAGGUAACCUUCAGCAAUGGAGGUUCACCGGAGCUCAUAAAUGUCUCUCCUUGCUGAGGACAGAUUUUGACCAUUUGAUCUCAAAUCAGGUAGGACUACCCGCUGAACUUAA
This 640-nucleotide ribosomal RNA is filed under the name uncultured Tomentella. RNAcentral's name for it is "eukaryotic LSU rRNA". The stretch from base 224 to 378 matches the Rfam family "5.8S ribosomal RNA". Lineage: Eukaryota; Fungi; Basidiomycota; Agaricomycetes; Thelephorales; Thelephoraceae. The record is from RNAcentral.